RNAcentral lists this ribosomal RNA (253 nucleotides) under uncultured bacterium. RNAcentral's name for it is "partial 16S ribosomal RNA". It matches the Rfam family "Bacterial small subunit ribosomal RNA", at positions 524 to 776 of the family's 1533-position model. The record is from RNAcentral.
UACGUAGGGUGCGAGCGUUAAUCGGAAUUACUGGGCGUAAAGCGUGCGCAGGCGGCGCGUUAAGACAGGUGUGAAAGCCCUGAGCUUAACUUGGGAAUUGCGCUUGUGACUGGCGUGCUGGAGUGUGGCAGAGGGAGGUGGAAUUCCACGUGUAGCAGUGAAAUGCGUAGAGAUGUGGAGGAACACCGAUGGCGAAGGCAGCCUCCUGGGCCAGCACUGACGCUGAGGAGCGAAAGUGUGGGGAGCGAACAGG